CAAGUCGAGCGAACGGACGAGAAGCUUGCUUCUCUGAUGUUAGCGGCGGACGGGUGAGUAACACGUGGAUAACCUACCUAUAAGACUGGGAUAACUUCGGGAAACCGGAGCUAAUACCGGAUAAUAUUUUGAACCGCAUGGUUCAAAAGUGAAAGACGGUCUUGCUGUCACUUAUAGAUGGAUCCGCGCUGCAUUAGCUAGUUGGUAAGGUAACGGCUUACCAAGGCAACGAUGCAUAGCCGACCUGAGAGGGUGAUCGGCCACGCUGGAACUGAGACACGGUCCAGACUCCUACGGGAGGCAGCAGUAGGGAAUCUUCCGCAAUGGGCGAAAGCCUGACGGAGCAACGCCGCGUGAGUGAUGAAGGUCUUCGGAUCGUAAAACUCUGUUAUUAGGGAAGAACAUAUGUGUAAGUAACUGUGCACAUCUUGACGGUACCUAAUCAGAAAGCCACGGCUAACUUACGUGCCAGCAGCCGCGGUAAUACGUAGGUGGCAAGCGUUAUCCGGAAUUAUUGGGUGUAAAGCGCGCGUAGGCGGUUUUUUAAGUCUGAUGUGAAAGCCCACGGCUCAACCGUGGAGGGUCAUUGGAAACUGGAAAACUUGAGUGCAGAAGAGGAAAGUGGAAUUCCAUGUGUAGCGGUGAAAUGCGCAGAGAUAUGGAGGAACACCAGUGGCGAAGGCGACUUUCUGGUCUGUAACUGACGCUGAUGUGCGAA
RNAcentral lists this ribosomal RNA (718 nucleotides) under uncultured Staphylococcus sp. RNAcentral's name for it is "bacterial SSU rRNA". It matches the Rfam family "Bacterial small subunit ribosomal RNA", at positions 58 to 757 of the family's 1533-position model. The record is from RNAcentral. Lineage: Bacteria; Bacillati; Bacillota; Bacilli; Caryophanales; Staphylococcaceae.